RNAcentral lists this ribosomal RNA (402 nucleotides) under uncultured bacterium. RNAcentral describes it as "partial 16S ribosomal RNA". It matches the Rfam family "Bacterial small subunit ribosomal RNA", at positions 28 to 526 of the family's 1533-position model. The record is from RNAcentral.
GACGAACGCUGGCGGCGUGCCUAAUACAUGCAAGUCGAACGCAGUGGGGACGGGUGAGUAACACGUGGGUAACCUCCCAUCAGAGGGGAUAAAACUUGGAAACAGGUGCUAAACCGAUACUGAUGGAUGGACCCGCGGUGCAUUAGCUAGUGGGUGAGGUAACGGCUCACCAAGGCAAGGAUGCAUAGCCGGCCUAGGGGGUGGACCGGCCACACUGGGACGGGGAAACGGCCCAGAUUCCUACGGGAGGCAGCAGGGGGGAAUUUUCGGCAUGGACGAAAGUCUGACCGAGCAAUGCCGCGUGAGUGAAGAAGGUUUUCGGAUCGUAAAACUCUGUUGGUAGAGAAGCGGUAUCUAACCAGAAAGCAACGGCUAACUACGUGCCAGCAGCCGCGGUAAUUC